RNAcentral lists this ribosomal RNA (585 nucleotides) under uncultured bacterium. Its description in RNAcentral is "partial 16S ribosomal RNA". It matches the Rfam family "Bacterial small subunit ribosomal RNA", at positions 355 to 935 of the family's 1533-position model. The record is from RNAcentral.
UCGGGAAUUUUGGUCAAUGGGGGAAACCCUGAACCAGCGACGCCGCGUGCAGGAUGAAAUCCUUCGGGAUGUAAACUGCUGUCGGAUGGGACGAAAUCUUUCGGGUGAAUAAUCCGGGAGGAUGACGGUACCAUCGGAGGAAGCACCGGCUAACUCUGUGCCAGCAGCCGCGGUAAGACAGAGGGUGCAAGCGUUGUCCGGAUUGACUGGGUGUAAAGGGCGUGUAGGUGGUCAGAUAAGUCCGUUGUGAAAACAACACCGCUUAACGGGUUGUCCGCAUCGGAAACUGUCUGGCUUGAGUGCAGAAGAGGGAAACGGAAUUCCCGGUGUAGCGGUGGAAUGUGUAGAUAUCGGGAGGAACACCAGUGGCGAAGGCGGUUUCCUGGUCUGUUACUGACGCUGAGGCGCGAAAGCUAGGGGAGCAAACGGGAUUAGAUACCCCGGUAGUCCUAGCCGUAAACGAUGGAUACUAGGUGUGGGAGGUAUCGACCCCUCCCGUGCCGCAGCAAACGCAUUAAGUAUCCCACCUGGGGAGUACGGUCGCAAGACUGAAACUCAAAUGAAUUGACGGGGUCAUAGCUGUUU